ACAAGCGGUGGAGCAUGUGGUUUAAUUCGAUGCAACGCGAAGAACCUUACCUGGUCUUGACAUCCACAGAACUUAGCAGAGAUGCUUUGGUGCCUUCGGGAACUGUGAGACAGGUGCUGCAUGGCUGUCGUCAGCUCGUGUUGUGAAAUGUUGGGUUAAGUCCCGCAACGAGCGCAACCCUUAUCCUUUGUUGCCAGCGGUUCGGCCGGGAACUCAAAGGAGACUGCCAGUGAUAAACUGGAGGAAGGUGGGGAUGACGUCAAGUCAUCAUG
This 272-nucleotide ribosomal RNA is filed under the name Klebsiella pneumoniae. Its description in RNAcentral is "partial 16S ribosomal RNA". It matches the Rfam family "Bacterial small subunit ribosomal RNA", at positions 925 to 1197 of the family's 1533-position model. Lineage: Bacteria; Pseudomonadati; Pseudomonadota; Gammaproteobacteria; Enterobacterales; Enterobacteriaceae. The record is from RNAcentral.